AUGCGGAAUAUGUCAUUUAGUAAUGGGGAAACAGAGAGGCAGUGUCAUUUGAUCAAAAUCAUAAUUGCAGAUGAUAUGUACCACCACCACCACCACGUAAGAACAGUUGUCUAAAACAUUUUAACUGUUGUGAUAGAAUCAUCCCCCAGCUUAGUUUUAGAUGACUAUAAUCCUUUAUCUGUAUGCCUUUCGAUUUUCAUGCCCUUUUGUUUUGAGCUUUUCAUACCAUAUUUUCUGUAGGCCUUAUCUGUAAUUAGC
RNAcentral lists this long non-coding RNA (258 nucleotides) under Medicago truncatula (barrel medic). RNAcentral's name for it is "lncRNA gene44517". The record is from RNAcentral. Lineage: Eukaryota; Viridiplantae; Streptophyta; Magnoliopsida; Fabales; Fabaceae.